UGGCGGACGGGUGAGUAACGCGUGGAUAAUCUGCCCGAGGAUUUGGGAUAACAUCUCGAAAGGGGUGCUAAUACCGAAUAAGCCCACGGGGUCUACGGAUCUUGCGGGAAAAGGGGGGGACCUUCGGGCCUCCUGUCCUUGGAUGAGUCUGCGUACCAUUAGCUAGUUGGUGGGGUAAUGGCCUACCAAGGCGACGAUGGUUAGCUGGUCUGAGAGGAUGAUCAGCCACACUGGAACUGAGACACGGUCCAGACUCCUACGGGAGGCAGCAGUGGGGAAUUUUGCGCAAUGGGGGAAACCCUGACGCAGCAACGCCGCGUGGGUGAUGAAGGCCUUCGGGUCGUAAAGCUCUGUCUGGAGGGAAGAAAUGAUUGGGAGCUAAUACCUCUUGAUCUUGACGGUACCUCUGAAGGAAGCACCGGCUAACUCCGUGCCAGCAGCCGCGGUAAU
RNAcentral lists this ribosomal RNA (450 nucleotides) under uncultured bacterium. RNAcentral's name for it is "bacterial SSU rRNA". It matches the Rfam family "Bacterial small subunit ribosomal RNA", at positions 96 to 524 of the family's 1533-position model. The record is from RNAcentral.